Molecule: ribosomal RNA, 301 nt
Filed under: uncultured bacterium
Lineage: Bacteria
Description: partial 16S ribosomal RNA
Rfam family: Bacterial small subunit ribosomal RNA
Source: RNAcentral
CAGUAGCCGCGGGAAUACGAAGGGGGCUAGCGUUGUUCGGAUUUACUGGGCGUAAAGCGCACGUAGGCGGAUCGAUCAGUCAGGGGUGAAAUCCCAGAGCUCAACUCUGGAACUGCCUUUGAUACUGUCGAUCUGGAGUAUGGAAGAGGUGAGUGGAAUUCCGAGUGUAGAGGUGAAAUUCGUAGAUAUUCGGAGGAACACCAGUGGCGAAGGCGGCUCACUGGUCCAUUACUGACGCUGAGGCUCGAAAGCGUGGGGAGCAAACAGGAUUAGAUACCCCCGUAGUCCCUGUCUCUUAUAA